GGGAACCCUGACGGAGCAACGCCGCGUGCGGGAGGACGGCCUUAGGGUUGUAAACCGCUUUUAACAGGGAAGAAGAACUGACGGUACCUGUUGAAUAAGCCUCGGCUAACUCCGUGCCAGCAGCCGCGGUAAGACGGAGGAGGCAAGCGUUAUCCGGAAUGAUUGGGCGUAAAGCGUCCGCAGGUGGCGAUGCAAGUCUGCUGUCAAAACCCAGGGCUCAACUCUGGUCAGGCAGUGGAAACUACAAAGCUAGAGUCUGGUAGGGGCAAAGGGAAUUCCCGGUGUAGCGGUGAAAUGCGUAGAGAUCGGGAAGAACAUCGGUGGCGAAAGCGCUUUGCUAGACCAGAACUGACACUCAGGGACGAAAGCUAGGGGAGCG
Molecule: ribosomal RNA, 379 nt
Filed under: uncultured cyanobacterium
Lineage: Bacteria; Bacillati; Cyanobacteriota
Description: bacterial SSU rRNA
Rfam family: Bacterial small subunit ribosomal RNA
Source: RNAcentral